RNAcentral lists this ribosomal RNA (501 nucleotides) under uncultured bacterium. RNAcentral's name for it is "partial 16S ribosomal RNA". It matches the Rfam family "Bacterial small subunit ribosomal RNA", at positions 30 to 523 of the family's 1533-position model. The record is from RNAcentral.
AUUGAACGCUGGCGGCAGGCUUAACACAUGCAAGUCGAGCGGGGGAAGGUAGCUUGCUACCGGACCUAGCGGCGGACGGGUGAGUAAUGCUUAGGAAUCCGCCUAUUAGUGGGGAACAACAUCUCGAAAGGGAUGCUAAUACCGCAUACGUCCUACGGGAGAAAGCAGGGGAUCUUCGGACCUUGCGCUAAUAGAUGAGCCUAAGUCGGAGUAGCUAGUUGGUGGGGUAAAGGCCUACCAAGGCGACGAUCUGUAGCGGGUCUGAGAGGAUGAUCCGCCACACUGGGACUGAGACACGGCCCAGACUCCUACGGGAGGCAGCAGUGGGGAAUAUUGGACAAUGGGGGGAACCCUGAUCCAGCCAUGCCGCGUGUGUGAAGAAGGCCUUAUGGUUGUAAAGCACUUUAAGCGAGGAGGAGGCUACUUUAGUUAAUACCUAGAGAUAGUGGACGUUACUCGCAGAAUAAGCACCGGCUAACUCUGUGCCAGCCGCCGCAGUAA